UCGAGAAUAAUUCACAAUGGGGGAAACCCUGAUGGUGCAACGCCGCGUGGAGGAUGAAGGUCUUCGGAUUGUAAACUCCUGUCAUCUGGGAGUAAGACCUGGGCGUGAAUAGCGCACAGGGUUGAUAGUACCAGAAGCGGAAGGGACGGCUAACUUCGUGCCAGCCGCCGCGGGAAUACGAAGGUCCCAAGCGUUGUUCGGAAUCACUGGGCGUAAAGGGUGCGUAGGCGGUUUGGUAAGUCAGAUGUGAAAUCCCGGGGCUCAACCCCGGAACUGCAUCCGAUACUGCCGGACUUGAGGACUGGAGAGGUGACUGGAAUUCUCGGUGUAGCAGUGAAAUGCGUGGAUAUCGAGAGGAACACUCGUGGCGUAAGCGAGUCACUGGACAGUAUCUGACGCUGAGGCACGAAGGCCAGGGUAGCGAA
Molecule: ribosomal RNA, 425 nt
Filed under: uncultured bacterium
Lineage: Bacteria
Description: bacterial SSU rRNA
Rfam family: Bacterial small subunit ribosomal RNA
Source: RNAcentral